GUGGGGAAUAUUGGACAAUGGGGGGAACCCUGAUCCAGCCAUGCCGCGUGUGUGAAGAAGGCCUUUUGGUUGUAAAGCACUUUAAGCGAGGAGGAGGCUACCGAGAUUAAUACUCUUGGAUAGUGGACGUUACUCGCAGAAUAAGCACCGGCUAACUCUGUGCCAGCAGCCGCGGUAAUACAGAGGGUGCAAGCGUUAAUCGGAUUUACUGGGCGUAAAGCGCGCGUAGGUGGCCAAUUAAGUCAAAUGUGAAAUCCCCGAGCUUAACUUGGGAAUUGCAUUCGAUACUGGUUGGCUAGAGUAUGGGAGAGGAUGGUAGAAUUCCAGGUGUAGCGGUGAAAUGCGUAGAGAUCUGGAGGAAUACCGAUGGCGAAGGCAGCCAUCUGGCCUAAUACUGACACUGAGGUGCGAAAGCAUGGGGAGCAAACAGG
This 431-nucleotide ribosomal RNA is filed under the name bacterium. RNAcentral describes it as "bacterial SSU rRNA". It matches the Rfam family "Bacterial small subunit ribosomal RNA", at positions 354 to 776 of the family's 1533-position model. The record is from RNAcentral. RNAcentral also lists the same sequence under 2 other names.